Transfer RNA from Ordospora colligata OC4, 71 nucleotides. It matches the Rfam family "tRNA". From Rfam's summary of the family: Transfer RNA (tRNA) molecules are approximately 80 nucleotides in length. Their secondary structure includes four short double-helical elements and three loops (D, anti-codon, and T loops). The record is from Rfam. NCBI's taxonomy places the organism in Eukaryota, Fungi, Microsporidia, Ordosporidae.
GGCGCCAUGGUCCAGUGGUAAGAUACGUGCUUCGGGUGCAUGAGACUCGAGUUCGAUUCUCGAUGGUGCCC